GGGUAUAUGAAAGAAACUUGCCUAAAUGGACUUUUGGAGAGAAAUGCUAAGAUGGAAGCGCUGCAGACAGUCUCAAAAUUGGAAGAAUCGAAGACGGCUCAAAGGAUCGGACGUAGAAAAGGGGCCGUACUGGCCACAGAUGUUAGUAGAGCAAAAGGUACGUUGUAGAUCUAAGGGCAAUAAGGUAACUGGUGUGGGAAAUCUGGAGAAUACUUUCGUUGGAUCAAG
Molecule: long non-coding RNA, 228 nt
Filed under: Gossypium barbadense (sea-island cotton)
Lineage: Eukaryota; Viridiplantae; Streptophyta; Magnoliopsida; Malvales; Malvaceae
Description: long non-coding RNA (GBAR_LNC014304)
Source: RNAcentral